This 675-nucleotide ribosomal RNA is filed under the name uncultured bacterium. RNAcentral describes it as "bacterial SSU rRNA". It matches the Rfam family "Bacterial small subunit ribosomal RNA", at positions 43 to 706 of the family's 1533-position model. The record is from RNAcentral.
CAGGCUUAACACAUGCAAGUCGAGGGGCAGCAUUUUAGUUUGCUUGCAAACUAAAGAUGGCGACCGGCGCACGGGUGAGUAACACGUAUCCAACCUGCCGAUAACUCGGGGAUAGCCUUUCGAAAGAAAGAUUAAUAUCCGAUGGUAUAUUAGAACCGCAUGGUUUUACUAUUAAAGAAUUUCGGUUAUCGAUGGGGAUGCGUUCCAUUAGUUUGUUGGCGGGGUAACGGCCCACCAAGACUACGAUGGAUAGGGGUUCUGAGAGGAAGGUCCCCCACAUUGGAACUGAGACACGGUCCAAACUCCUACGGGAGGCAGCAGUGAGGAAUAUUGGUCAAUGGACGAGAGUCUGAACCAGCCAAGUAGCGUGAAGGAUGACUGCCCUAUGGGUUGUAAACUUCUUUUAUAUGGGAAUAAAGUAUUCCACGUGUGGGAUUUUGUAUGUACCAUAUGAAUAAGGAUCGGCUAACUCCGUGCCAGCAGCCGCGGUAAUACGGAGGAUCCGAGCGUUAUCCGGAUUUAUUGGGUUUAAAGGGAGCGUAGGUGGAUUGUUAAGUCAGUUGUGAAAGUUUGCGGCUCAACCGUAAAAUUGCAGUUGAAACUGGCAGUCUUGAGUACAGUAGAGGUGGGCGGAAUUCGUGGUGUAGCGGUGAAAUGCUUAGAUAUCACGAAGAA